CCCAGACUCCUACGGGAGGCAGCAGUGGGGAAUAUUGCGCAAUGGGCGAAAGCCUGACGCAGCGACGCCGCGUGAGGGAUGAAGGUCUUCGGAUCGUAAACCUCUGUCAGCAGGGAAGAACGGUCACUGUGCUAAUCAGCAGUGAAUUGACGGUACCUGACUAAGAAGCCCCGGCUAACUACGUGCCAGCAGCCGCGGUAAUACGUAGGGGGCAAGCGUUAUCCGGAUUUACUGGGUGUAAAGGGAGCGUAGACGGUUACGCAAGUCUGGAGUGAAAGGCGGGGGCCCAACCCCCGGACUGCUUUGUAAACUGUAUAACUGGAGUGCAGGAGAGGUAAGUGGAAUUCC
This 348-nucleotide ribosomal RNA is filed under the name uncultured bacterium. Its description in RNAcentral is "bacterial SSU rRNA". It matches the Rfam family "Bacterial small subunit ribosomal RNA", at positions 330 to 670 of the family's 1533-position model. The record is from RNAcentral.